This 253-nucleotide ribosomal RNA is filed under the name uncultured bacterium. RNAcentral describes it as "partial 16S ribosomal RNA". It matches the Rfam family "Bacterial small subunit ribosomal RNA", at positions 524 to 776 of the family's 1533-position model. The record is from RNAcentral.
UACGGAGGUGGCGAGCGUUGUCCGGAUUUACUGGGCGUAAAGAGCGCGCAGGCGGUUGUGCAAGUCAGAUGUGAAAGCCCCCGGCUCAACUGGGGAGGGUCAUUCGAUACUGCUCGACUUGAAGGCGGGAGAGGGAAGCGGAAUUCCCGGUGUAGUGGUGAAAUGCGUAGAUAUCGGGAGGAACACCAGUGGCGAAGGCGGCUUCCUGGGCCGUUCUUGACGCUGAGGCGCGAAAGCUAGGGGAGCAAACGGG